Molecule: transfer RNA, 75 nt
Filed under: Candidatus Omnitrophota bacterium
Lineage: Bacteria; Pseudomonadati; Candidatus Omnitrophota
Description: tRNA-Thr
Rfam family: tRNA
About the family: Transfer RNA (tRNA) molecules are approximately 80 nucleotides in length. Their secondary structure includes four short double-helical elements and three loops (D, anti-codon, and T loops).
Source: RNAcentral
GCUGGCGUAGCUCAACGGUAGAGCAAUGGUUUUGUAAACCAUAGGUUGGAGGUUCGAUUCCUCUCGCCAGCUCCA